AGAGUUUGAUCCUGGCUCAGAACGAACGCUGGCGGCGUGCCUAACACAUGCAAGUCGAACGAGAAAGGGAUCUUCGGAUCCCGAGUAGAGUGGCGCACGGGUGAGUAACACGUGGAUAACCUGCCCUAUGAUCUGGGAUAACAUUUCGAAAGGGAUGCUAAUACCGGAUAAGCCUACNACUUCUUCGGAAGAUGUAGGAAAAGAUUUAUCGUCAUAGGAUGGGUCCGCGGUCCAUUAGUUAGUUGGUGGGGUAACGGCCUACCAAGACCACGAUGGAUAGCUGGUCUGAGAGGAUGAUCAGCCACACUGGAACUGAGACACGGUCCAUACUCCUACGGGAGGCAGCAGUGGGGAAUUUUGCGCAAUGGGGGAAACCCUGACGCAACAACGCCCGCGUGAA
RNAcentral lists this ribosomal RNA (400 nucleotides) under uncultured delta proteobacterium. RNAcentral describes it as "bacterial SSU rRNA". It matches the Rfam family "Bacterial small subunit ribosomal RNA", at positions 8 to 405 of the family's 1533-position model. The record is from RNAcentral. Lineage: Bacteria; Deltaproteobacteria.